UACUGUCCUGUAUAACCAGUUGAUGAAGUUGCCUGAAAUGGUUUCAGAUCAGGAGAAAGAGACUUGGUCCUCUCGGAUGGUAACCGCGUCAGCGCCUUCUCUGUAGCUAGUACAGCUAUUGCUGCUGCUCAGUGGUCAUCCACCCAGUCUCAAAGUGGUGAAGGAGGCAGUGUUGACUACAGUUAUCUGCAGCCGGGUCAAGAUGGCUAUGCCCAAUAUGCUCAGUAUUCACAGGAUUAUCAGCAGUUUUAUCAACAACAAGCUGGAGGAUUGGAAUCUGAUGCAUCAUCUGCAUCAGGCACAGCAGUGACCACCACCUCAGCGGCUGUGGUGUCCCAGAGUCCUCAGCUGUAUAAUCAAACCUCCAAUCCACCUGGCUCUCCGCAGUACCUGACACGUCCACUUACCAGUAUGAUGAAUCUUCAGGAUAUUACUAUGAUCCGACGACAGGGCUCUAUUAUGACCCCAACUCGCAAUACUACUAUAAUUCCUUAACCCAGCAGUACCUUUACUGGGAUGGGGAAAAAGAGACCUACGUGCCAGCUGCAGAGUCUAGCUCCCACCAGCAGACGGGCCUGCCUCC
Molecule: small RNA, 583 nt
Filed under: Pongo abelii (Sumatran orangutan)
Lineage: Eukaryota; Metazoa; Chordata; Mammalia; Primates; Hominidae
Description: processed transcript
Source: RNAcentral